GACGUAGGGGGCGAGCGUUAUUCGGAAUUAUUGGGCGUAAAGCGCUCGUAGGCGGGAUCGAAAGUCCGUGAUGAAAGACCUGGGCUCAACUCAGGGAACGGCACGGAUACUACGAUUCUUGAGGCAAUCAGAGGGUGAUGGAAUUCCCGGUGUAGCGGUGAAAUGCGUAGAUAUCAGGAGGAACACCGGUGGCGAAGGCGGUGGGCUGGGCCGGCACUGACGCUGAGGAGCGAAAGCGUGGGGAGCGAACAGG
This 253-nucleotide ribosomal RNA is filed under the name uncultured bacterium. RNAcentral describes it as "partial 16S ribosomal RNA". It matches the Rfam family "Bacterial small subunit ribosomal RNA", at positions 524 to 776 of the family's 1533-position model. The record is from RNAcentral.